Molecule: transfer RNA, 64 nt
Filed under: Ctenocephalides canis (dog flea)
Lineage: Eukaryota; Metazoa; Arthropoda; Insecta; Siphonaptera; Pulicidae
Description: tRNA-Asp
Source: RNAcentral
AAAGAUUUAGUUAAAUUAAAUAACAUUAGAAUGUCAAACUAAAAUUAUUGUAAAAUAAUCUUUA